RNAcentral lists this unclassified non-coding RNA (369 nucleotides) under Bombus terrestris (buff-tailed bumblebee). RNAcentral describes it as "misc RNA ENSBTSG00005023687.1". Lineage: Eukaryota; Metazoa; Arthropoda; Insecta; Hymenoptera; Apidae. The record is from RNAcentral.
AGUGACAGCUGCAUUGAUAAUGGUUAAAAGAAACGAUUGAUUUGCCGAUUUUCACGUACGAGGCUCAUUCGAUUUCAUGGAAUAUCGGCUGAACCGGAGACACCGAGGCAGAGAAUUCAUCGCUGGUUGAGCGUAUGGGUGCAGGUUGCAUCUGGCGACACUGAGCCUCAUAGAAGCACCCCUGAAGCAAGAAUUCAAGGUUUCCGGCGGGCCUCAGGCACGCUAAGGCAUCUUUCGCGUUCCCUACAACGCUGCAACGUCUUCUUUCCGGCUGGUUAACUGUCGCUCGGAAAUACGACCAAGUCUCUUGGCACGGACGAACUUCGUCGGCAUCUCUACCGGAAAACCGCUGAACUCAACUGCUUCUUC